GGUUAAGCGACUAAGCGUACACGGUGGAUGCCCUGGCAGUCAGAGGCGAUGAAGGACGUGCUAAUCUGCGAUAAGCGUCGGUGAGGUGAUAUGAACCGUUAUAACCGGCGAUUUCCGAAUGGGGAAACCCAGUGUGUUUCGACACACUAUCAUUAACUGAAUCCAUAGGUUAAUGAGGCGAACCGGGGGAACUGAAACAUCUAAGUACCCCGAGGAAAAGAAAUCAACCGAGAUUCCCCCAGUAGCGGCGAGCGAACGGGGAGGAGCCCAGAGCCUGAAUCAGUGUGUGUGUUAGUGGAAGCGUCUGGAAAGGCGCGCGAUACAGGGUGACAGCCCCGUACACAAAAAUGCACAUAUUGUGAGCUCGAUGAGUAGGGCGGGACACGUGGUAUCCUGUCUGAAUAUGGGGGGACCAUCCUCCAAGGCUAAAUACUCCUGACUGACCGAUAGUGAACCAGUACCGUGAGGGAAAGGCGAAAAGAACCCCGGCGAGGGGAGUGAAAAAGAACCUGAAACCGUGUACGUACAAGCAGUGGGAGCCUCUUAAUGGGGUGACUGCGUACCUUUUGUAUAAUGGGUCAGCGACUUAUAUUCUGUAGCAAGGUUAACCGAAUAGGGGAGCCGAAGGGAAACCGAGUCUUAACUGGGCGUUAAGUUGCAGGGUAUAGACCCGAAACCCGGUGAUCUAGCCAUGGGCAGGUUGAAGGUUGGGUAACACUAACUGGAGGACCGAACCGACUAAUGUUGAAAAAUUAGCGGAUGACUUGUGGCUGGGGGUGAAAGGCCAAUCAAACCGGGAGAUAGCUGGUUCUCCCCGAAAGCUAUUUAGGUAGCGCCUCGUGAAUUCAUCUCCGGGGGUAGAGCACUGUUUCGGCAAGGGGGUCAUCCCGACUUACCAACCCGAUGCAAACUGCGAAUACCGGAGAAUGUUAUCACGGGAGACACACGGCGGGUGCUAACGUCCGUCGUGAAGAGGGAAACAAC
RNAcentral lists this ribosomal RNA (984 nucleotides) under Escherichia coli. RNAcentral describes it as "partial 23S ribosomal RNA". It matches the Rfam family "Bacterial large subunit ribosomal RNA", at positions 1 to 1026 of the family's 2925-position model. Lineage: Bacteria; Pseudomonadati; Pseudomonadota; Gammaproteobacteria; Enterobacterales; Enterobacteriaceae. The record is from RNAcentral.